RNAcentral lists this ribosomal RNA (1349 nucleotides) under human gut metagenome. Its description in RNAcentral is "bacterial LSU rRNA". It matches the Rfam family "Bacterial large subunit ribosomal RNA", at positions 1174 to 2524 of the family's 2925-position model. The record is from RNAcentral.
AACGGGGCUAAGUCAAUAACCGAAGCCGCGGAUUCGCAGCAAUGCGAGUGGUAGGGGAGCGUUCUGUAAGCCUGCGAAGGCGGAUCUGCGAGGACCGCUGGAGGUAUCAGAAGUGCGAAUGCUGACAUGAGUAACGUUAAAGCGGGUGAAAAGCCCGCUCGCCGUAAGCCCAAGGUUUCCUGCUCUACGUUCAUCGGAGCAGGGUGAGUCGGCCCCUAAGGCCAGGCUGAGAAGCGUAGUCGAUGGGAAGCUGAUUAAUAUUUCAGCACCGCUGUUGAGUGCGAAGGGGGGACGGAGUUUUGCAAGUAAUCCGGGUGUUGGAUGUCCCGGUUGGCGAGCGUAGGAGGUGAGCAGGCAAAUCCGCUCACGAAUCUCCGAGACGAAGCCUCGAGGUCCUUUAGGACUGAAGUUACCGAAUGAACUUCCAGGAAAAGCCUCUAAGCUCCAGCUCAACGGUGACCGUACCGUAAACCGACACAGGUGGGCGAGUUGAAUAUACUCAGGCGCUUGAGAGAACUCGGGAGAAGGAACUCGGCAAAUUGACACCGUAACUUCGGGAUAAGGUGUGCCUUGGUAGCGUGAAAGGAGAAACUCCCCAAGCGUGAAGAGGUCACAGAGAAUAGGGGGCUGCGACUGUUUACUAAAAACACAGCACUCUGCAAAGACGAAAGUCGACGUAUAGGGUGUGAUGCCUGCCCGGUGCUGGAAGAUUAAUUGAUGGGGUGCAAGCUCCUGAUCGAAGUCCCAGUAAACGGCGGCCGUAACUAUAACGGUCCUAAGGUAGCGAAAUUCCUUGUCGGGUAAGUUCCGACCUGCACGAAUGGCAUAACGAUGGCCCCACUGUCUCCUCCCGAGACUCAGUGAAGUUGAAAUGUUUGUGAUGAUGCAAUCUCCCCGCGGCUAGACGGAAAGACCCCAUGAACCUUUACUGCAGCUUUGCAUUGGACUUUGAACCGAUCUGUGUAGGAUAGGCGGGAGGCAAUGAAACUUUGACGCCAGUCAGAGUGGAGCCGACGUUGAAAUACCGCCCUGAUUUGUUUGAGGUUCUAACCGCAGACAGUGAGCCUGUCUCGGGACCGUGCAUGGUAGGCAGUUUGACUGGGGCGGUCUCCUCCUAAAGGGUAACGGAGGAGUACAAAGGUACGCUAGGUACGGUCGGAAAUCGUGCUGAUAGUGCAAUGGCGCAAGCGUGCUUGACUGCGAGACCGACAAGUCGAGCAGAUGCGAAAGCAGGUCAUAGUGAUCCGGUGGCACUGAAUGGAAGGGCCAUCGCUCAACGGAUAAAAGGUACUCUGGGGAUAACAGGCUGAUACCGCCCAAGAGUUCAUAUCGACGGCGGUGUUUGGCAC